GAUGAAGAACGUAGCGAAAUGCGAUAACUAGUGUGAAUUGCAGAAUUCAGUGAACCAUCGAGUCUUUGAACGCACAUUGCGCCCGCUGGUAUUCCGGCGGGCAUGCCUGUUCGAGCGUCAUUUCAACCCUCAAGCCCCCGGGUUUGGUGUUGGGGAUCGGCUCUGCCCUUCUGGGCGGUGCCGCCCCCGAAAUACAUUGGCGGUCUCGCUGCAGCCUCCAUUGCGUAGUAGCUAACACCUCGCAACUGGAACGCGGCGCGGCCAUGCCGUAAAACCCCAACUUCUGAAUGUUGACCUCGGAUCAGGUAGGAAUACCCGCUGAACUUAAGCAUAUCAAUAAGCGGAGGA
This 348-nucleotide unclassified non-coding RNA is filed under the name soil metagenome. Its description in RNAcentral is "partial contains 5.8S ribosomal RNA, internal transcribed spacer 2, and large subunit ribosomal RNA". The stretch from base 1 to 120 matches the Rfam family "5.8S ribosomal RNA", at positions 35 to 154 of the family's 154-position model. The record is from RNAcentral.